GGCGCUACACACUGAGCGGAGCAGCGCACGCAGGCGCACCGGGACAGCCUCCUGGGCGGAGCGGGUCUAGCGGCAGCGGCGGCGGCUGCCCCUGGGAGGGGCUCCGGGGAGCGGGGGCUGCUUGGGCUAGUGCCCAGGAGCGUGGUUUGCCCUGAAGAGAGAUGCCCCCCGGUAAUGCGCACCGAUCACUAAAGGAGCCAGUGAGCGAGUUAGGCCAUUUAGCAGGAGCCCUGUGGGUCCCAGGGUAUUAGCGAAGCAACAUCUUGUACUGGGCCAACGUGGUGGCUGGAAGCAUCUCUCUCUCACCAACAGAAAUUGGGCCCAUAAAAGCUAUGACCUCACCCACCUUGUCUCCGAAGUAUUCCUAGGAAUAUAGAAAUUGCCAUAUCAUCAUGGGCAGGGCAUGCACCCAGCUGGGGGAGACUAGCCCCCAGCCCCGGCUCUUCCAGCUUGUUGUCACUCUGUGUGUCCAAGAUGUUUACUCAAGAUUAAUUGGUGGUCCUGGAAGAGACAGAGGACAGAGAAGCGAACUCUAAGAGAAAUGUCUGCCUAGAAAAUGCUGCAAGAAAAGCUAUCUGCCCUAAGCAUUGUGCAUCGAAAGUGACAAACUCCAUAGCUUAUCAUUUAAGAAAAUCAAUGAAUUUGCUCUCCAAAAAAAUCAUGAUAGAAAAUGUUCUAAAUUGUAUUAAUGUAUUAAAUGUAUUAAAAUUAAUGUGAUAUGCAGACAUACUGCAGCUUGUACUGCUUCCAUUAAGUAAGCUUGUCUAUGUAACUGUAACUGCUUUUGUGUAGCUUUAGAUAUAAACUUUUCAUAUCUACUAAUUAAGAAAUCAUAGAUGAAAAUAUGUUAAUUUGAAACUAUUUUAUAAUGCAAACAGGCAUAUUGCAAGACAUGUUUUAGUUAGAUUAUUAUUCUAGUUUUAUAACUUUGCCUUUGUAUAUAUGCAAAUAUAAAGUUUUCGUAUUUAUAUAUUCAA
Trachemys scripta elegans is the source of this 977-nucleotide long non-coding RNA. RefSeq lists it as uncharacterized. The transcript has 2 exons. Lineage: Eukaryota; Metazoa; Chordata; Testudines; Emydidae. The record is from RefSeq and is a predicted model, not a curated record.